Molecule: ribosomal RNA, 514 nt
Filed under: uncultured Entrophosporaceae
Lineage: Eukaryota; Fungi; Glomeromycota; Glomeromycetes; Entrophosporales; Entrophosporaceae
Description: SSU rRNA
Rfam family: Eukaryotic small subunit ribosomal RNA
Source: RNAcentral
AGCAGCCGCGGUAAUUCCAGCUCCAAUAGCGUAUAUUAAAGUUGUUGCAGUUAAAAAGCUCGUAGUUGAAUUUCGGGAUUUGCACAUCGGUCGUGCCUUAGGGGGUAUGAACUGGUGUAGUGAAUUUCUCACCUUCUGGAGAACCGUGAUGUCCUUAAUUGGGUGCCACGAGGAACCAGGACCUUUACUUUGAAAAAUUAGAGUGUUUAAAGCAGGCAUUUUUGCUUGAAUACAUUAGCAUGGAAUAAUAAAAUAGGACGGCAUGAUUCUAUUUUGUUGGUUUCUAGGAUCACCGUAAUGAUUAAUAGGGAUAGUUGGGGGCAUUAGUAUUCAAUUGUCAGAGGUGAAAUUCUUGGAUUUAUUGAAGACUAACUACUGCGAAAGCAUUUGCCAAGGAUGUUUUCAUUAAUCAAGAACGAAAGUUAGGGGAUCGAAGACGAUCAGAUACCGUCGUAGUCUUAACCAUAAACUAUGCCGACUAGGAAUCAGACGAUGUUAAUUUUUAAUGUACUCG